RNAcentral lists this ribosomal RNA (448 nucleotides) under uncultured bacterium. Its description in RNAcentral is "bacterial SSU rRNA". It matches the Rfam family "Bacterial small subunit ribosomal RNA", at positions 330 to 793 of the family's 1533-position model. The record is from RNAcentral.
UCCAGACUCCUACGGGAGGCAGCAGUGGGGAAUAUUGCACAAUGGGGGAAACCCUGAUGCAGCGACGCCGCGUGAGUGAAGAAGUAUUUCGGUAUGUAAAGCUCUAUCAGCAGGGAAGAAAAUGACGGUACCUGACUAAGAAGCCCCGGCUAACUACGUGCCAGCAGCCGCGGUAAUACGUAGGGGGCGAGCGUUAUCCGGAUUCACUGGGUGUAAAGGGAGCGUAGACGGCCGUGCAAGCCAGGAGUGAAAGCCCGGGGCCCAACCCCGGGACUGCUCUUGGAACUGUGCGGCUGGAGUGCGGGAGGGGCAGGCGGAAUUCCUGGUGUAGCGGUGAAAUGCGUAGAUAUCAGGAGGAACACCAGCGGCGAAGGCGGCCUGCUGGACCGCGACUGACGUUGAGGCUCGAAAGCGUGGGGAGCGAACAGGAUUAGAUACCCUAGUAAAA